This 253-nucleotide ribosomal RNA is filed under the name uncultured bacterium. RNAcentral describes it as "partial 16S ribosomal RNA". It matches the Rfam family "Bacterial small subunit ribosomal RNA", at positions 524 to 776 of the family's 1533-position model. The record is from RNAcentral.
UACGUAGGGUGCAAGCGUUAUCCGGAUUCACUGGGUUUAAAGGGUGCGUAGGCGGCUAUAUAAGUCAGUGGUGAAAGCCCGCAGCUCAACUGCGGAACUGCCAUUGAAACUGCAUAGCUUGAAUCUGGUUGAAGUGGGCGGAAUACAUCAUGUAGCGGUGAAAUGCUUAGAUAUGAUGUAGAACACCGAUUGCGAAGGCAGCUCACUAAGCCAACAUUGACGCUGAGGCACGAAAGCGUGGGUAGCGAACAGG